UACGGGGGGGGGCAAGCGUUGUUCGGAAUUACUGGGCGUAAAGGGCUCGUAGGCGGCCAACUAAGUCAGACGUGAAAUCCCUCAGCUUAACCGGGGAACUGCGUCUGAUACUGGAUGGCUUGAAUCCGGGAGAGGGAUGCGGAAUUCCAGGUGUAGCGGUGAAAUGCGUAGAUAUCUGGAGGAACACCGGUGGCGAAGGCGGCAUCCUGGACCGGCAUUGACGCUGAGGAGCGAAAGCCAGGGGAGCAAACGGG
RNAcentral lists this ribosomal RNA (254 nucleotides) under uncultured bacterium. RNAcentral's name for it is "partial 16S ribosomal RNA". It matches the Rfam family "Bacterial small subunit ribosomal RNA", at positions 524 to 776 of the family's 1533-position model. The record is from RNAcentral.